GAGCUAGCCCGUCAAAUAAAAUACUGGCAUUGAAGGUUGGCCAUAUUUUUGAUAAGCGAUUCUCCGUGCCUUUCAAAUACUAUAAUUUUGACUAGGGGUGUACAGAGCAAACUGAUAAACC
Molecule: small nucleolar RNA, 121 nt
Organism: Lycium ferocissimum
Lineage: Eukaryota; Viridiplantae; Streptophyta; Magnoliopsida; Solanales; Solanaceae
Source: RefSeq, a predicted model, not a curated record